This 253-nucleotide ribosomal RNA is filed under the name uncultured bacterium. Its description in RNAcentral is "partial 16S ribosomal RNA". It matches the Rfam family "Bacterial small subunit ribosomal RNA", at positions 524 to 776 of the family's 1533-position model. The record is from RNAcentral.
UACGGGGGGGGCUAGCGUUGUUCGGAAUUACUGGGCGUAAAGGGCGCGUAGGCGGUCUAUUAAGUUGGAUGUGAAAACUCUGGGCUUAACCCAGAGCCUGCAUUCAAAACUGAUAGGCUGGAGUUCUGGAGGGGAUAGCGGAAUUCCUGGUGUAGCGGUGAAAUGCGUAGAUAUCAGGAGGAACACCGGUGGCGAAGGCGUUCUGCUGGGCCGUUGCUGACACUGAGGCGCGACAGCGUGGGGAGCAAACAGG